AUUGAACGCUGGCGGCAUGCCUAACACAUGCAAGUCGAACGGCAGCACGGCAGUAGCAAUACUGUGGGUGGCGAGUGGCGGACGGGUGAGGAAUACGUCGGAAUCUGCCCAGUCGUGGGGGAUAACUAGCCGAAAGGUUAGCUAAUACCGCAUACGACCGAGAGGUGAAAGCGGGGGACCGCAAGGCCUCGCGCGAUUGGAUGAGCCGACGUCGGAUUAGCUAGUUGGUGGGGUAAAGGCCCACCAAGGCGACGAUCCGUAGCUGGUCGUGAGAGGAUGAUCAGCCACACUGGAACUGAGACACGGUCCAGACUCCUA
Molecule: ribosomal RNA, 318 nt
Filed under: uncultured bacterium
Lineage: Bacteria
Description: bacterial SSU rRNA
Rfam family: Bacterial small subunit ribosomal RNA
Source: RNAcentral